UUCUGGGACACAUGAACAUCUAAGAAUUGACUCCUACAACUUCUGUAGGCAGCUUAGCCAGAAACAGGGUCAGUCCAGUGUCCACUUGCGAAGAUUAGUUAGGACAAGAGUUUCUCAGACAUGAUGACAUGCAUCUCAUGAUCCAUUUGUCAGACAUGAAGACGGGCACUUUCGGUCUGUGGGGGGGAAUCCACAUCUGGUUCCACCUUCAAGAAAGUCCUUACGUGUGGAAACUGGUUCUGAGAAGCAGAAGUCAGAGAGAAUGAACAUCAUUAACAGUCUCAUACUACAGCCUAAGGAAAGGGUGAAAAGAAUUUACAUUGGUCUUAUGGGCUGAACUAUUUCCUGGACUAUUUGUCAUGGACUCCAAAUUUGUCCCUCUAAACGUGUGUAUUGAAAUUCUAGUAUCCAGGAUUUGAGAAUGUGGCUGUACUUGGAUAUGGAGCCUUUAAAUAGGCAAUUAAAAUGAAUUGAGGUCAUAUAA
Molecule: long non-coding RNA, 484 nt
Organism: Peromyscus eremicus (cactus mouse)
Lineage: Eukaryota; Metazoa; Chordata; Mammalia; Rodentia; Cricetidae
Exons: 2
Source: RefSeq, a predicted model, not a curated record